CAGGCUUAACACAUGCAAGUCGAGGGGCAGCAUGGUCUUAGCUUGCUAAGGCCGAUGGCGACCGGCGCACGGGUGAGUAACACGUAUCCAACCUGCCGUCUACUCUUGGACAGCCUUCUGAAAGGAAGAUUAAUACAAGAUGGCAUCAUGAGUCCGCAUGUUCACAUGAUUAAAGGUAUUCCGGUAGACGAUGGGGAUGCGUUCCAUUAGAUAGUAGGCGGGGUAACGGCCCACCUAGUCUUCGAUGGAUAGGGGUUCUGAGAGGAAGGUCCCCCACAUUGGAACUGAGACACGGUCCAAACUCCUACGGGAGGCAGCAGUGAGGAAUAUUGGUCAAUGGGCGAGAGCCUGAACCAGCCAAGUAGCGUGAAGGAUGACUGCCCUAUGGGUUGUAGACUUCUUUUAUAAAGGAAUAAAGUCGGGUAUGGAUACCCGUUUGCAUGUACUUUAUGAAUAAGGAUCGGCUAACUCCGUGCCAGCAGCCGCGGUAAUACGGAGGAUCCGAGCGUUAUCCGGAUUUAUUGGGUUUAAAGGGAGCGUAGAUGGAUGUUUAAGUCAGUUGUGAAAGUUUGCGGCUCAACCGUAAAAUUGCAGUCGAUACUGGAUAUCUUGAGUGCAGUUGAGGCAGGCGGAAUUCGUGGUGUAGCGGUGAAAUGCUUAGAUAUCACGAAGAACUCCGAUUGCGAAGGCAGCCUGCUAAGCUGCAACUGACAUUGAGGCUCGAAAGUGUGGGUAUCAAACAGGAUUAGAUACCCCUGGUAGUCCACACGGUAAACGAUGAAUACUCGCUGUUUGCGAUAUACUGCAAGCGGCCAAGCGAAAGCGUUAAGUAUUCCACCUGGGGAGUACGCCGGCAACGGUGAAACUCAAAGGAAUUGACGGGGGCCCGCACAAGCGGAGGAACAUGUGGUUUAAUUCGAUGAUACGCGAGGAACCUUACCCGGGCUUAAAUUGCAGAUGAAUUACGGUGAAAGCCGUAAGCCGCAAGGCAUCUGUGAAGGUGCUGCAUGGUUGUCGUCAGCUCGUGCCGUGAGGUGUCGGCUUAAGUGCCAUAACGAGCGCAACCCUUGUUGUCAGUUACUAACAGGUCAUGCUGAGGACUCUGACAAGACUGCCAUCGUAAGAUGUGAGGAAGGUGGGGAUGACGUCAAAUCAGCACGGCCCUUACGUCCGGGGCUACACACGUGUUACAAUGGGGGGUACAGAGGGCCGCUACCACGCGAGUGGAUGCCAAUCCCCAAAACCUCUCUCAGUUCGGACUGGAGUCUGCAACCCGACUCCACGAAGCUGGAUUCGCUAGUAAUCGCGCAUCAGCCACGGCGCGGUGAAUACGUUCCCGGGCCUUGUACACACCGCCCGUCAAGCCAUGGGAGCCGGGGGUACCUGAAGUGCGUAACCGCGAGGAGCGCCCUAGGGUAAAACUGGUGACUGGGGCUAAGUCAUAACA
Molecule: ribosomal RNA, 1447 nt
Filed under: uncultured organism
Description: 16S ribosomal RNA
Rfam family: Bacterial small subunit ribosomal RNA
Source: RNAcentral